GACGAACGCUGGCGGCGUGCUUAACACAUGCAAGUCGAACGAAGAGCGAUGGAAGCUUGCUUCUAUCAAUCUUAGUGGCGAACGGGUGAGUAACGCGUAAUCAACCUGCCCUUCAGAGGGGGACAACAGUUGGAAACGACUGCUAAUACCGCAUACGAUCUAAUCUCGGCAUCGAGGAUAGAUGAAAGGUGGCCUCUACAUGUAAGCUAUCACUGAAGGAGGGGAUUGCGUCUGAUUAGCUAGUUGGAGGGGUAACGGCCCACCAAGGCGAUGAUCAGUAGCCGGUCUGAGAGGAUGAACGGCCACAAUGGGACUGAGACACGGCCCAGACUCCUACGGGAGGCAGCAGUGGGGAAUCUUCCGCAAUGGACGAAAGUCUGACGGAGCAACGCCGCGUGAGUGAUGACGGCCUUCGGGUUGUAAAGCUCUGUUAAUCGGGACGAAAGGCCUUCUUGCGAACAGUUAGAAGGAUUGACGGUACCGGAAUAGAAAGCCACGGCUAACUACGU
This 509-nucleotide ribosomal RNA is filed under the name uncultured bacterium. RNAcentral's name for it is "partial 16S ribosomal RNA". It matches the Rfam family "Bacterial small subunit ribosomal RNA", at positions 28 to 506 of the family's 1533-position model. The record is from RNAcentral.